AGAACUUCACGUGCUCUUUCACACUCUAGCAACGUAGCUGCAUUCGCACAUCCGGACCCUCCGACCCACGCGCACGACAAAGUCCAAACACAACUGCCAUUUGGCACCACUGACCCUGCCACACAGAGACAUACACUGCAGCUCGCGCCGCAUCUCACAACCUACCGUGACAACCAGAAGCUGCACAACACCGCGCCACCACCACCACCGCCACAUAUUCCACAAUGGGAGGGAAGAACUCCACGCAGCGCCAGGGCGCGCAGCUGCGUAAUGGAAACGGAGGGGGCAGCACGGCGCCCGGGCGGCAGGCUCCUAGCAACAUGCCGCCGCACUUAGCGGAUCAGUACGACAAUAAUAGCACCCGUCAGCGCAACCAGCCGCCUAGCAACGCCAACAACACCACUCCGCCUCAGCAGAACGCUCCCCAGCCGCCGCCGCAGCAGCAGCAGCAGCCGCAGCCGCAGCAGCAGAAUAGGAGCGGCAACCCCAUGGGGAACAACGCUGCCAACAACAGCAACGAACGCGGCGGCGUGCAGGAGGGUCAGAUGGUGAAGAUGCUAGCCACUAUAGAGGCGUCCACGGUGAGCUAUAUGCCAGCGACGCAGGUGCUCACGUUCUACAUCACGAGCAUAUGUGAAUCGCUGACCUACGAGAUCCACACCGGUGUGAAGGAGUUCGUGCAUAACGGCACUGUGUGCUAUAGGCCCAACAGGCCAAAGCUGGAGCCCGUCAAGACGGAAAUCCGCGGCCCGCAGGAAAACCGCAAAAUCACCUUGAAGCUGGACAUCAACUCGCUGGAAGAAAAGGAGAAGUCGUUCAACAAGCACUACCCAAAGCAGAUGCCGUGCGUUAUCGUGCUCCGCUACAAGACUACUGAGAUCUGCAAGAGGGACGACGGCCGCGACAAUAACAACCAAACCGAGGAGGAAAUGCGUGUGGAGCAUACGGAGCACACCUCCGUUGACCUCGCGGAGAAGCCGAAGCGCCGCGUCAUCAGCCAGAUUGUGACGGCGGGUGGUAACGCAUACACAGUAGAGAACCUUUACGGUGUGGACAACGACGGGACGGCGCCGGCGAGCGGCAACGGCGGUGGUGCCGUAAUGAUCGGCUCGACGAUCGAGGAUGAAGAGGAUGGACUCUGCGUGAUAUGCCUGACAAACCCGAAGGACACGGCUGUGAUGCCGUGCCGCCACAUGUGCAUGUGCAAGGACUGUGGCGAGCAGCUGUUGAAGCACAAGCCUGUGUGUCCCGUGUGCCGUGCCCCGAUUUCGACACUGCUGCAUAUGCCCUCGUUGAGCAACAAAGCCGCUGCUUCGACGGCAUAGAGCAAGACGGAGAGGGGCACAGGUGAAGAGGAUGUGUGCAUGUGUGGGGGGGGGUGGGGGGGGGGCGGUUAAGCAGCGGGUAGCGCACAGCAAAGGGGGUGAAAACCACGAAAGUAAAUAUAUAUAUUUUCUGUGUGUGCGUGAGAGAAGAGGGGAAGAGGCGUCCUGCAAUGCCGCAGUCGCGUGCACACUUUCGUCGAUACACCUACCUUCCUCCCUUCUCCGACCCCUCGGAUUCUCUUCUCGUAUUUUCCUCUUGGCGCGUUUCAGGCCGCUUGCACGUUUAGGGAGGGAGAGUGGGUGGAAGGAAGAGGGUGGGUGUAGGGGGGGGGGUGCGAAGCGGGAAAGAUGUGAUUUUCUGACUGUUUUUUUUUUUUUUGUUCGUCUGCCGGUGUUUUCUUUGCCCUCUUCUCCGCUCGCACUCUUUUUUUUUUUCGGGUUGUUGGCUGGCGCGCGCAUGCGAAUGUUGUCUGCUUACGCUUUGCUUCCGUUUUCUUUUUUUUUUUUUUCGGUCUUUCUGCUGACGGUGACCUCUCCUCUCUCCCCUGCCAUCCGCGACUGCUUCACCCCCGCUAACCAUUCCCAUCCGAGAGGCUUCGCGAUGCCCCUUUCUUUCCUUCUGGUGCGCCCUCGCAUCCUAUUUCCGCCAGUCGGCCCGCCUUCUUGUUGGGCGGUGUGUGUGCGGCACAGAAGCUAGCGCGUGCACGUUUGUUAUGGUCAGAGGCGAAUGCUCACAGUACUUGUAUACCCAUCCAUUCGCACGGACGCACGCACAAACAUACGCUCUGCCCACGCAUCAGCUUCAGACACACACGAGGAAGAGGAGAAAGGAGGAGGAAGGAGGGUCAUCUGCUUACCGGCAUGCGCACACUCAAGCGUAUGUGCAUCCAUCCACUCACAGGCUAAUUGCACGCACGUGCUGUUGGGGGUGCCACGGCACAUUUUCAGUAGUGGGCAAGGUAAGCAGGCGAGGGAGGAGCAAAGCAGGGCAAAACCAGAAGAGGGGAUACCAUACACAAGUAUUACUUUGUGAUCGGGCUGUGCGCUCUUUAUCUAGCCCCUCGGGUGUUCUUUUUUUUUUCUUCCCUUGCCUCUCUCAGUGUGUCGGUGGUCUGGCAGAUGCUUGUGUCCUGUGUGAGAGUGGAGGGAAGAAAUGCAAGGUUCCUCUUGCAGCAGGCUGAAGCGGGCGGGUGGCGGAGGAGGGUAACGAUGCGGGAGUGGUGGGGCUUUGAUCUUGGGCUCAAUCAUUCGGUAAUGAGCUGAUGCCGCACUCUGCCUGCUCUUCCGCCUCUUUUCCUCUUUCACACGUUGGCUCUUCAAGUGGAUUGGUCCCUCUCUCUGCCUCGUUUUGUCUAUGGCGGCUUCUCUUCACUGUUUUACACUCGUAUGUGUCUACCUGAUUGUGUGUGUGCGCGCUUUACCAUUUUGAAAGUGAUCCUCGCAAGUUAUUGCCCCAUACCCUCCCCCUCUGUCUUCUCUUUCGAUUGCCUCCCCAUCUCCGACUUGGCGCGGUUCUCUUUAUCUUGCUGUUUCCAUUUUUUUUUGGUUUGUUCGUAUCUCUUUCGGUUCAUCGUGUUACUGUCGAUCGGCUGAUGUUUUCAUACCCACUCACGCUCGCGCACACCUUCCCCCACCCCCUCCCUCUCUCCAUCUCUUCGUCUUUGCUCUGAUUCUUCACCCUUCCCCUCGCAUUUUACCUUUUCUUCAGUUUGUCUGUUGCUGUCUGUGCUCGCGUCUUCUUGUGUGUGUUCUGUUUCACCUCUUCUCGGUGCGUGUGUCUGUGAGCGCGCGACGUUGUGUGUGUGCGUGUUUGCUUCUUCCUCGCUUCCCUAUGUUUUUGCUUUCUGCCUGUGUGUCUGUCUCUCUCCUUUUCAUGUCGGUGAAGAAUCAGCUACAUGCGACUCUUUCGGUGCGUUUGGAUGCGUGUGUAACGCCUGUGUGGAUGUCCCUCUCGGUGCGCGUGUCGCACGCGCAACAUUUUCUUUGUACUCCCCCUCUUUUCUUGCCAGCCCAGCUUCUGAGCUGCAAUACGAGGUGGCAUGACGGAAAAAAAAGAAGGGAGUGCAGUGGACCGCAAAGUACAACUGGGUGGGUGGGGGCGCCCCUGAAAAAUGCGCGGACCGAAGAAAGAGGGUGGCAACGGUAGGAAAGGCGCAAGCGUGGGCCGCGCACUUAUCUUGAAGAGGAUGUGUGUGUGUGUGUGUGCGUAUUCGCAUGCGUGGAGCGAAAGAAAAGGAGACAUGAUCGGCGAGAGCCUCACCUUGCAAAUGUGUGCACCAGAGCGGUUUUAGUUUUUGUGGCCCGCUUCCGCGCGAACGCGUGCGUGUUUCGUGAUGGCUGGCCGUUAAUCUCUUGUGCUUCUCUUCUGCGGCGUGGAGCUUGUUUGCCCCUUCGUGUGUGCGUGCGCGUUUUCCUCUUCUUAAGCUUCUUUUUUGCCCCACCUCCUUCAUUAUAGAUAUCGGCUUGUUGUUUGCGACUGGAGGAAGUAGCCUCUAACCUUUUCUCCUCCUCUCUGGUCUUCUGAGCGUGUGUGCUGCACUGAACGCACAUGUUCUCCCUCUUUCUUCAUCUGUGGCGUUUGCUGCUUCCUCUUCCAUUCGCUUUUUUCCUUACGCUGCUCUCUGCUUGUGGUGUGCUGGUGCCCGGGUUGCGUGCUGCUGUUUUCUCUCCGUUUCUUUUCUUUUGUUGCACUUCCGACUCGACAUUCCACAUCAGCUGUACGUUCGACGAUCACACGCGCCGGCACACACGCAGCAUAUUGUACAGAAUCGUCACCACCCCGCUGAUGCGGGAUGUCUCCCCUCCCCGCCUCCUGUUCUCUCCGCGCUCUCCUCCUUUGUUCUGUGACACGCACGUACACACAAAAACAGCAGCGGCACGUUUGUGAGCAUCUCGUGAAGGGCGCUUCCACUUCUCGUGGUUUACGUGCUCUCUCUCAAUCUUCUUUUCGUGUUCGUAAAGUCUUCCCACUGCCCACAGGUUGCCUUGACAGCGCUUGUAUUGGGGGGAGGGGGCGAUGAUGAUGCUUCUUCUCUUGCUUUACCGACGCCUCUGUUCUGCUUCUUUCUCUUCGCGCAGACGCGCAGACCCCAAGGCGCAUUCGCAUAUGUGCACACAGACUCAAACGCAGAUGCUCCGCACGCCCCGUAAAUACUACGAGGGGUAUGUGCAGACACGGAUGUGUGUGGGUGUGUGAUGAGCGUCUAGCCAUGCCGAAUGGACGCCGGCCUCUCCGUGAAAGGGUGCAAGAGGGGACAGACGAAGAGAAGAGGUGAGUUGAACUGCUUCCGCAUCUCCUUACAUCGGCCGUGGCGUGGCCCUGUGGCGGCUGCCCGCAUAUGUGCCCUUUCCCCUCCCCUCCCCUCCCCCUCUUCUCUUCUCUCUCGCUUUGUUCCUGUCGCUGUUGUUGGGGCUCGUCUUUGUUGUCCGUCCUAUUCUAAGCGAUGCUUUUUGUUUUGCAGGUGUGUCUCCGUUCGCCAUUGACGCCGUUGUUCGUGUUUUCUCUUUCUCUCGUGUUUUUUUGAGGUUCUUCUGCCGUCCUUGUGAUUCUUGUGAUAUCAACCGUUUGAACGGAUUGCCUGUGCGAACAGCGCAUGCGUUUGUGUGCGUCCGUGUGAGGUCUGCGCAUGGUGCUCCUCCUCCGCCCCCCCACCUCCACGAGUACACAACCGCCUUUUUCUCGUCUUCCUCUGUGCGUCG
Molecule: unclassified non-coding RNA, 5024 nt
Filed under: Leishmania donovani
Lineage: Eukaryota; Euglenozoa; Kinetoplastea; Trypanosomatida; Trypanosomatidae
Description: gene:LdHU3.18.1470(CDS-product:Zinc_finger_C3HC4_ type_(RING_finger)_containing_protein_putative)
Source: RNAcentral